UAGAAAAAUCGGUAGGUGAGGCUACCAUAGGGAUAAGGGUUGCUGCCGCGAAAUAGUGGAGACACUAUGAGUUGGUUAACAGUCUAUGUCGAAUUCAAGGCAUAGAAUAAUGCAAUUUCAUCGCCCUAUGAAGCUAAAGCUCAAACGGUUAUUAAA
Cetobacterium somerae ATCC BAA-474 is the source of this 156-nucleotide regulatory RNA element. It matches the Rfam family "M-box riboswitch aptamer (ykoK leader)". Rfam says of the family: M-box riboswitch, also know as ykoK leader is described as a metaloregulatory RNA that sense divalent metals and function as a genetic control element of genes related to divalent metal transport in bacteria. It was first reported upstream of the B.subtilis ykoK gene and genes with related functions in other bacteria. Phylogenetic analysis of the distribution of M-box RNAs across bacterial genomes revealed that M-box riboswitches are most often employed for the regulation of Mg2+ transporter genes The record is from Rfam. Lineage: Bacteria; Fusobacteriati; Fusobacteriota; Fusobacteriia; Fusobacteriales; Fusobacteriaceae.